UAACGAGAUCGGAGGCAGAGCGAAGCAGAGUGAGGUAGGUUGAGGUAAAGAUAAAGUGAGGCACAGUGAGGUAGAAUGACAGAGACAGAGCAAGUAAGAAUGAGGUAAAGGGAGGUAGAGAAAGGAAGAACGUGGUGGAGUGAGGCAGAUUGAGGUAGAGUGUGGUAAAGUGAGGUAGAGUGGAGUAAUUUGAGGUAGAUUAGGGCUGAUUGUGGUAGUAAGGUACAGUAUGGUAACGUGGGGUAAACAGAGUAAUGUAGAGUGAGACAACAUGAGGCACAGUGAGGUAGAAUAGGGUAGACAGGGCAGGGAAGAGUGUGAUAAAGGGAGGUAGAGAAAGGUAGAGUUUGGUAGAGUGAGGUAUAGUGAAGUAGAGUGAGGAAGAGUGAGGUAAAGCAAGGUACAGUGCGUCAGAUUGUGGUAGGGAGGUAGAGGAAGGCAAAGUGGGAUAAACUGAGCAAGGUAGGGAGUGGUAAAAUUAAUUAGAGUGAGGCAGAGUGAGUUAAAGUGGGGUAAAGUGAGGUAGAGUACAGUAGAGUGAGGAAGAUUGUGGUAGUGAGGCAGAGUGAGGUAAAGUGGGGUAAAUAGAGCGAGGUAAAGAGAAUGGUAAAGUGAGGUAGAAGGAGGUAGAGUGAGAUAAAGUGAGGCAUAGUGAGGUAGAAUUCGGUGGACAGAGCAAGAAAGAGUGAGAUAAAGGGAAGUAGAGAUAGUUAGAGUGGUAGAGUGAGGCAGAGUGAAGUAGAGUGUGGUAAAGUGAGAUAGACUAAGGUAGGAUGAGGCAGAUUGUGGUAAUGAGGUAAAGUGUGGUAAAGUAGAGGUAGAAUGAGGUAAAAUGAGGCACAGUAGAAUGUAGGUAGAAAGUAGGUAGAAUGGGGUAGACAAAACAAGGAAUAGUGAGGCAGAGUGAGGUAGAGUAAAGAAGAGUGAGGUAGAGUAAGGUAAAGUGGGGUAAACAGAGUAAGGUAGAGUGUGGUAAAGUGAGGUAGCUUCAGAUAAAGUGAGAUACAGUAAGGUAGAAUGGGGUAGACAGAGCAAGGAAUAGUGAGGUAAAGGGAGGUAGAGAUGGAGUGGUAUAGUGGGGUGAAGUUUGGUAGAGUGAGGUAAAGUGGGGUAAACAGAGCAAGGUAGAGUGUGGUAAAGUGAGGUAGAGUGAGGCACAAUAAGGUAGAAUUGGGUAGACAGAGCAAGGAAAAGUGAGGUAAAGGGAUGUAGAGAUAGGUAGAGUGAGGCAGAGUGAGGCAGAGUGAGGCAAAGUGAGGUAGAGUUUGGUAGAGCGAGGCAUAUUGUGGUAGUAAGGUAGAGUGAGGAAAAGUGGGUUAGACAGAGUGACGUAGAAUGAGAUAAAAUGAGGCACAGUGAGGUAGAAUAGGGUAGACAAAGCAAGGAAUAGUGAGGUAAAGGGAGGUAGAGAUAGAUUGGUAGAGUGAGGCAGAGUGAGGUAGAGUGAAGCGGAUUGUGGUAGUGAGGUAAAUUGGAGUAAACAGAGUGAGGUAGCUUGAGCUAAAGUGAGGCACAGUGAGGUUGAAUGGGGUAGACAGAGCAAAGAAAAGUGAGGUAAAGAGAGGUAGAGAUUCCUAGAGUGAGGUAGAGUGAGGUAGAGUGGUGUAGGGUGAAGUAGAGUGAGGUAAAGUGAGGCAGAGUGAGGUAGAGUGGUGUAGGGUGAAGUAGAGUGAGGUAAAGUGAGGUAGAGUGAGGUAGAGUGGUGUAGGGUGAAGUAGAGUGAGGUAAAGUGAGGCAGAGUGAGGUAGAGUGGUGUAGGGUGAAGUAGAGUGAGGUAAAGUGAGGUAAAGUGAGGUAGAGUGAGGUAGAGUGGUGUAGGGUGAAGUAGAGUGAGGUAAAGUGAGGUAGAGUGAGGUAGAGUGGUGUAGGGUGAAGUAGAGUGAGGUAAAGUGAGGCAGAGUGAGGUAGAGUGGUGUAGGGUGAAGUAGAGUGAGGUAAAGUGAGGUAAAGUGAGGCAGAGUGAGGUAGAGUGGUGUAGGGUGAAGUAGAGUGAGGUAAAGUGAGGCAGAGUGAGGUAGAGUGGUGUAGGGUGAAGUAGAGUGAGGUAAAGUGAGGUAAAGUGAGGUAGAGUGAGGUAGAGUGGUGUAGGGUGAAGUAGAGUGAGGUAAAGUGAGGCAGAGUGAGGUAGAGUGGUGUAGGGUGAAGUAGAGUGAGGUAAAGUGAGGCAGAGUGAGGUAGAGUGGUGUAGGGUGAAGUAGAGUGAAGUAGAGUGAGGUAAAGUGGGGCAGAGUGAGGUAGAGUGGUGUAGGGUGAAGUAGAGUGAAGUAGAGUGAGGUAGAGUGGUGUAGGGUGAAGUAGAGUGAGGUAAAGUGAGGCAGAGUGAGGCAGAGUGAGGUAGAAUGGUGUAGGGUGAAGUAGAGUGAGGUAAAGUGAGGUAGAGUGAGGUAAAAUGA
Astyanax mexicanus (Mexican tetra) is the source of this 2393-nucleotide long non-coding RNA. RefSeq lists it as uncharacterized. The record is from RefSeq and is a predicted model, not a curated record. Lineage: Eukaryota; Metazoa; Chordata; Actinopteri; Characiformes; Acestrorhamphidae. The transcript has 3 exons.